AUACAGGACACCCAGUCCAAUUUGAAUUUCAGAUAAAUAGUGAAUCAUUUCUUAAUACAAGUAUAUCCCAUGUAAUAUUUGGGACAUACUUAUACUAAAAUAAAAGGAUGUUCUUUAUUUAACAUUCAAAUUUAACCGGAUGUCCUAUAUUUU
This 153-nucleotide microRNA precursor is filed under the name Mustela putorius furo (domestic ferret). RNAcentral describes it as "miRNA (ENSMPUG00000022727.1)". The stretch from base 49 to 100 matches the Rfam family "mir-1302 microRNA precursor family". Lineage: Eukaryota; Metazoa; Chordata; Mammalia; Carnivora; Mustelidae. The record is from RNAcentral.